UGCAGGGUCACCAAUCACCAGCCCAGGCUGCCCAGAGCCACAUCCAGCCUGGCCUUGAAUGCCUCCAGGGAUGGGGCAUCCACAGCCUCCUUGGGCAACCUGUUCAGUGCAUCACCACCCUCUACCUCUACGUCUCUGUUAUGGCCCUUACUUAGCUGGAAUCAGCAGUGGUUCUCACUUCUGUUGUCAAGGAGGUAGAGAGUGUUGGUACUGAUCUGGGGAGGUUUAUUUUGCUUCAUUAUUAGUAACAGCAUAUGCAAAAUAUUCCAUAACAAAUCUUUGCUAUACCACCUGCUGGGCACUACCUGUGAGCAGGCAGGCAAGGCGUGGUGCAUUAAUGCAGCAAUCCAUUCUUUUAUCACAACACAAGGAAUACUUCCACACACACACACAGAGGGGUGCUGGCUUCUGAUGCUUUACAGUGCUUUUACUGUUCUUGUUGUAUUAAAGUUUAAUUACUUUUUAACUUAGAUAUUUACACAGAACAUAAACUGUUCAGAAGGAUAACUGUCAACCAGCCAAGACCUCCUUGGCAGGACUUUGAGAUCAUAUUUUACUCUUCUGGUGAUGGCAGCUCUGGCAGAGAAAUGCUUCAGUUCUGAGAAUUACGUCUAUGUAUGUUUGAUCCCUUUGGGGAGACUGCCAAAGCACCAAGAUUAAUUAGCAACUUACCCAAAAUACACUCCCCAUUAGAUAGAUCUUAAGGGGUUCCUUGUCACAGCCUGCUUUAUAAAAACACAUUUUGAAAUAUUAAUGAAUCCAUAUCACAAAAGAUGACAUUUUGAACUCUAUCUCAGUGCCCGUUCUCAUCUCCACGCUCACUAAAAUGACAGUUAUUAGUUUUGUGACAGCUCUGCACUUACAUCAGCUUUGCAGAGCUCUGGCCAGAUCACAGAAGAGAAACUCGCCUGAUGGACAAAUACUGCAUCAUUAUGUUCCCAGCUACCGCAACUUCCUCAAUCAAUAGAGCUUUAGAAGUAAAUAAGAUAACAGGGAUGCAUUCAAACUGAUGCAUGACCACAGUGCAAAAAUAAUUACAAAGGCUUUUAGUAAUUGUUUUGAAAUGUACACUCUCUUUCCCAAGGGAACACAACAAGGGAGAGGUACCAAUUCAUUUGCCUAAGCCCUAGGAAAACGUUACAGACACAGGCAGGCUGAAAUGAAGACAGGGACAACCUCGCAUUCCUGGUAGCAGUGGAUGUUUCACCCAUCCUUCUUAAUUCCCAAACUGGUUCUGAUCAUAUUAAUUUUCAUCGGCCAUUGAAGCUGAGAGGUGGAGCCUGUGCUGAGCUUAAGAGUCCUUUGCACAGCAGCUGAUACACAAAACCUCUAAAUCUAAUUAAACACAACAAUGGAAGAGCCAACCCUUAAAGGAAGGUUUCCCUACAGAGGUUACCACCAAUUUAAACACCAGUAAGACACUCUCAGCUGUGUGCCCAAGACCAAUGUUCUAUUUCAACUUGCUUGGGGAGCAGUAGGGAGGCGUGCAUGUCCUCCCAAAGUGCUCAGUGCAGUAUUUCAGUGGACUGCAAUGAGAAAACACCCCUGGAGCACAGCAGGCUAUCUAACACAGAAAGCUCCUGUCAAGGAGCCUAGAACUCUACAAAACAGAAUCACAACGAUGACAGUGUGCUGUGAGCAGAGCAGGACUGCCUCAUGGUGAAUGUACUGGGUUAAGACUCAGAAAAUCACACUACACUUCAAGCAAUUAUCAUCCCCUGAGGAGAGAAGGAAUAGGCUUUCCUACCUCAGUGGGCAGUAAAGGCUCUGCUGGGAGCAGUGCUCUCCACAGCAGUGUGCUGGUGGUGAACAAGUACUUUUUCAGGGAAAAGCAUGCUUGGUCCAGGCUUCCAGACACGCUGUGCUGCGUCACUUCAGGGCUGGCACUUGCAGUAUGUGCUUUCCUGCAGAAGCCUCCAGCAGCAGUAAGCCUGGGGACCGCAGCACAACCUGCUGCAUGUUUUUCUUCUUCACCUGACCUUCAGACCGACAGAGUACAGUAAUAGUCAAGAAGCAUGAGGUCACCCACUCAUUCACUCCUCUGGCAGCCCCAGCACGUGUGAGCAUGGGGGGGCAGUGUAAUUAAAGUGCACUGCCAAGGGGUUUGUGCUGAAACAGCAUCAGAGGGACAGCUCAAGAACCCCCCUCAGUUACAGAACCAGAUGUUACUGUAGCUAUGCUCCAUAUACUGAUGCUACUAAAAAUAAACCAGGAAGACAUUCCUCACCUAAGGCUCAGGAGGGUUCUGGUAUGCAGCUGAGUCAUGCAACAAUCAUUAAAAUCAACACAACUUCAUCUCUGGUUUACACUCUAUCAGCACAAGCCAAAAAAAUAUGCCUUUGACAUAUCUAAAAAGCAACACUGCACCCACUGGAACAAGGCACAAAGAAGUAAUCUGGAGGUCAAGGUCUUCUGGAAACAACUGCACAAAUAAGAAAGAAAUGCAUUAAGAAAGGAGGAAGUAAUGCACUUUUUUUUUUUUUAUUUAUUAUUUUCCACAAAGAAUAGGAGAGAAUGUGUUCAGUGCUUGAGGAAGACAUGAGAUCGACAGCAACAUCCUUAGUCAACAAAGCAGCACAAGCCUCUCCCACCUGUUAGCACUGCACACGUUUUGCACUGCGCUGCCAACAGAUCAGCUGUGCCAGGAGCUUAGAGAAAUUCAUCAGCACCGGGUCAGCUCAACGGUGUAACACAACCUCUGCUUCUGAUGACCUGUCCUUUUCCCACACUAGCCUUAGCACUGAAGAGUAUAUCCUUAGAUGCCAUUUGUACCUAAGCUACUUAGAGGGCAUGUGUGUAUGCAGACAUACAUGCAGGUAAGGGAUUCUAGAAAUGUCAGCUGCAUUUAAUCAGAUGAUGCUUAUACUUAAGUAAGAGGAAGCUAUCAAGCCUGCAUGCAUGUACAGAAAGACUGUGACAUGCACAUUGGUAUCAUCAUGCUACCAGUGGGGACGUUGCUGCUGCUCAAGCACACAGUCCUAAUUAGUGACUCAUCUGCAGGACCUCAGUCCUCAGAACUGCAUCCAACACGCUGGAUUGGACUGUCCCAAAAUGUUGUUCUUUCACACCUUCUUUCUUCAUUUCCUUAAUGCAAAGCACUCUUUGCAGACACUAAAGGUCUCCCUGAAACGCUCCACGGUGACUGCUUAAAAUCUAGUUAUUUCAUACAAGUUCUAUUCACCUUUUUUCUACAGUAGACAGCAGCGAAACAACACAUCCCUGAUGUGCAGCAGGCCUUACCCUGAGAUGGUGCAGCCUUAAGUUACGUGUUGGUUUCACUUCAACAUGAGAAAACAAACAUCAACACAAGCCUAGGAAAAGGACCCAACUGCUGCUGUAGUGUUAAAAUAAACACAGCAAAACCCACAAGAUUUCCCAGUUAAAUAAAUGAAUGACAUCCAAACUUGUGCGUUCAUCUCUGAAAAGCCUGAAGCACUUUAACUUGCAUGCAGGCACCUUUAGGACAGCAGCCCUUCUUCAGCUCCACACUCAAAGAAAUGGAGAAUGUACAAAAAACAGACCAGCCAACAGGUAACACCGAGCAGCCACAGCAGCUGCCAGAGCCACAGAGCACCUGGCUGCCAGAAUGUGCCUCGUGGUGUCCUGCAGCCAGCGUGGAGCUGAGAGGCCCAGCUCAGAUGCAAGAACUGCCUGAAACAAGCUCAUUUUGCACAUCUAUGGCCACGCAGAUAUCCAUCUUGUAUCCCUCUAUGUGUGGGUUUAAACAGGAACCAAGGGAAUUCAGGGUGCAAUGAAACUCCCCUUCCCAGACAACCAAGGCCCACUCCUCCUUCCCCACCCACAGAUGACACCAAUGUCUCCAGCUCUUUUCCAGGAAAGCUGCAGUACUGGCGUCUCCUGCAGGCAUCCAUCCUCACUCCAGGGAUAACAUCACAGAGCAGAACUUGGCUACACACACAGGCUUCAGCUUCAAGUUCAGUCUCAGUUGGACCACUGCAAAUUUACUAUUCCAGUUUAAAACUUGUUAUACAGGUUGAGCUUACUGCUGGAAAAGCCAACCUACCUACCCAGCCACUGCAAGCCAGCCUUACAACCGCCUUAAGAGCUCUCAUCCCCCACAGUACUGUUUGUUUCAUCUCACAAAUUACUUCACUAUGGAGGUGAAAAACCUUACAGCUGCUUUAGGCAGCUUUGCACCGAGAUGAGCCAUGCAGCUCCCAGACAGCGCCUAUCUCCUGUCUGCUAACUGCCAGCACUCAGCCAUUACAGACACAGCACUGCUGCAGGGGCUCCACGUUCUCCAGCUUUUAGAGGGAGACAGCACGCUCAGAAAGGUUACAUCAAAGCAAGAGCCAGUUGUCCAGGUCAUCAGAACAGCCAGCAGUCCUCAUCACAGGAAAGCCAUCACCAAAGCACUGAGAAUAAAGAAUCUGCAUUGAGAAUCAGUGGAAAACGUUUCACUGAAAACCUGGCAAAUUCAACAUUUGGUGAGGGAAGGACAGAGCUCCUGAAAAUGAAGCAGUCUGCAAAAAGGCGAAGCUGCAACUCCAAAUGCCAAAGUAUGUAUUUGCAUAGCUUACCCUCCAUGUUGCCUUUGUUUUAGCAGUAGUGUAUGCAUGUUCUCUAUUUACUCUCCCACACACGGCACACUGCAUGUCCUCCCCUUCUCCCACCCACAGAUAAACUGGCUCUGCAAACAAAACAUGUUCAGAUAACUGCGGAGGUCCUGAAAAAAGGACAGUGCUGUUCCCUCUGGGGAAGCAAAGAUACCCAUGUAAAUCAAGUUGCCUGCUUGGGAUGUUGUUCUAGUCUCCUGAGGAUAGGAUCAAGUACAUACCUUAUAAUUAAUUUAGCUGUCACUUGUGUAACACAUCCUUACUCCUACACACGGAGAGACAAAUAAUAGCUUAAUGCUCCUUUGUUGUUGUUGUUGUUGUUGUUUUUAAAUCACAGCCAUUCCUGCUGGGUAAAGCAGCCUUAAAGUAAACACAUACCUAGCCUUUCACGUUCCUUCCAAUGAUCAGAAACAACAAAACAGCUAUUUAUGAACCAGAAAGGUCAAUGCACUUCUGCAGGGGACAGAUGCACGUUACAGCCUGAGGGUGGGAAAGUCUGAGACACAGUGCUACUGACCUAAAGGGGUUUUGGUUACAACUGUGUGGAAGAUACCUCCACUGCAGUUCACGCUGCACUGGUAACCCAGACAGACCCUCAUUCCCCACUCAUGUAACAGUAAGCUGUGCAGUCAUCCUGCAAUGUUUUAUCGAUAAGGCUCCACUAAUUUUGUGUUAGCUUACACAUGUGCAAUCAGCCGUCAAAAUCGGAUCUACAGUGCAGGUGGUUUCAAAGCAGAAAGAGAAGCACAUGGCCUGGAAAAUCAUAGAAUCACACAAUGGUUUGGGGUGGAAACGCAGAACUGCUGUCAAGGUGCAGAACAAGACUCAAAAAGCUAACCUUGAUUUACCAUUAGGAGGCAAGGAUUAAAACACGCUGUGUUACAGGGGAACAUCUUACCAGUAAGUAAGAAAGUAACCAAGGAAUAAGUGACUGAAGCCAAGAUCUAUGGCAAACAGCCCUCAACCCUGGAAACAGCAGUUCCUAAAGGGAACACCACCAAAGAAACACUGUGACUGCGAUACAUCAGCCACUACCACAACUUCAGACACACACCUGAAGCAGCAAGGCAGCAUCUGUAAAACCUCUGCCAAUUCUCAAAGUUGGGCAGCCCUAAAGGCAGCAAUAAGCACAUUAAGCACCAUCUGAAUUGCCGUGAUUAAGUGACUUCUCUGAUUGACUGUUUAAUACAGCUUUGUUUGUUUGCUUUCCUUCUUACCUGCUGAUGUUGCCUGGCUCCUGCUGUGAUAGACUUCACAAGGAUGUCUAUUAAUGGCUUGCACAUGAUCUGUAACAAUAAGAGAUUGAGUCUUUCUUUAUCUUAUUAGCUUGAGCAAGAAGAAAAUUCCACAAGAAAGCUGUCCAGAGACCAGCAACACCUUAUUUGAAAACAAACAACUUUGUUCACAGCAGCCCUGGGUGAAAUCUUGAUCACAGCAAAACCAGCAGCAAAACUUUUUACUUGGAAAAGACGAGGAAAAUGCCUGGUUCUUGAUUUAAGUCCGCACCCCCCUGAUAUUUUCUGUAGGCAGCUCACUUCGUGCAAAGGAAAACAUGCUGAGUUAGACUAGAGAAAGUCAGAGCUGGGAAAAGGUCCCAUUCCAUGCCCUAAAGGGCCAGAAACAGCUGUCAGGACAGCAUCUUUGGAGAUAUGUUAUCUUAGAAUCAUACCCUGCAACAAUUCAUGAUCAAAACAACAUUUCCAGGGCAGGGUUUCAUGUCAGCAAAGCCUGCUGAAUCUCUUUUCUGGCCUAAUCCAACAAUUUCCAGGUUUCUAUACAAAAUCCUUCCAACUCCAUGGGAAGAAAGAGUCCAGACACAAGAAAUAAGAAAGCAUGUGAAUUGCAAAUACCUUACUGGCAGAUUUCCAAUGCCAUCUAUCAGGCACUGGAAGAAACAGAAACAGCAACGUGCUGUAAAGUUCACUAACACGGUGUGCAGGUGGUUAUUUCAACCACACCACCUAAAACAGCUUCCUUCAGGGACAAGAAGACUACUAAAAGAACAGCUCCAGCAAGUGGGUAAAACCCAGCUUUAAAAAAGCCAGUAGCCACAGAAAUCAUUGCUUUUGUAUUAUAAAAGGGAUGAGCUUAAAGAUUUAAAAUGACAUUUCUGCAAGAAACAGCUGUAUGGAAUCCACAAACUUGAGAAACCUGGACAGGAGCUAUUUAAACAAUCCCUUCUGCCUUUGUGUAAGCACUGCUCAUCCAUGUGGUCUUGAAUACAGGUAGCAAAUUAGAGCUUCUCAGAGCAUCCUUUAAUAAGCAGCCUUUUAUUCACCUACAUUCUCCAUGCUGUAUCCCAAUCCAAACCAGAGCGGUCUUCUGCAGCACUGGUAUGAAAACACGCAGUAUUCAGAGUUUAAGAAGGUGAAAAUCCGAGGAAGCCCAGCAGCAAUUCUAACAGCCCACAACAAAAUGGAAAAGUUUCUCUCCUUUCCCCAGGCUCACAGCUGUAUUUUGGAGCCACCAGAAGGAAGUGCACCAUAAGGCAGCACCACUUACC
Long non-coding RNA from Gallus gallus (chicken), 7080 nucleotides. RefSeq lists it as uncharacterized. The record is from RefSeq and is a predicted model, not a curated record. The transcript has 3 exons. NCBI's taxonomy places the organism in Eukaryota, Metazoa, Chordata, Aves, Galliformes, Phasianidae.